Molecule: ribosomal RNA, 433 nt
Filed under: uncultured bacterium
Lineage: Bacteria
Description: partial 16S ribosomal RNA
Rfam family: Bacterial small subunit ribosomal RNA
Source: RNAcentral
AACGAACGCUGGCGGCAUGCCUAACACAUGCAAGUCGAACGAGACCUUCGGGUCUAGUGGCGCACGGGUGCGUAACGCGUGGGAACCUGCCCUUAGGUUCGGAAUAACUCCCCGAAAGGGGUGCUAAUACCGGAUAAUGUCUUCGGACCAAAGAUUUAUCGCCUUUGGAUGGGCCCGCGUUGGAUUAGCUAGUUGGUAGGGUAAAAGCCUACCAAGGCGACGAUCCAUAGCUGGUCUGAGAGGAUGAUCAGCCACACUUGGACUGCGACACGGCCCAGACUCCUACGGGAGGCAGCAGUGGGGAAUAUUGGACAAUGGGCGAAAGCCUGAUCCAGCAAUGCCGCGUGAGUGAUGAAGGCCUUAGGGUUGUAAAGCUCUUUUACCCGGGAUGAUAAUGACAGUACCGGGAGAAUAAGCUCCGGCUAACUCCGUG